CAGUCGCCGCGGGAAUACGAAGGGGGCUAGCGCUGUUCGGAUUUACUGGGCGUAAAGGGUGCGUAGGCGGAUUGUUAAGUCAGGGGUGAAAUCCCGAGGCUCAACCUCGGAACUGCCUUUGAUACUGUCGAUCUUGAGUCCGGGAGAGGUGAGUGGAACUGCGAGUGUAGAGGUGAAAUUCGUAGAUAUUCGCAAGAACACCGGUGGCGAAGGCGGCUCACUGGCCCGGUACUGACGCUGAGGCACGAAAGCGUGGGGAGCAAACAGGAUUAGAUACCCCUGUAGUCCCUGUCUCUUAUAC
Molecule: ribosomal RNA, 301 nt
Filed under: uncultured bacterium
Lineage: Bacteria
Description: partial 16S ribosomal RNA
Rfam family: Bacterial small subunit ribosomal RNA
Source: RNAcentral